CACACACACAAAAAAAACACAAAACCUUGAAAAAUCCCCGAUAGCAAACACGUUCAUGUGAUGCCCAAAACGGCAUCACAUGAACAUUAGACAAUGCAUCCUGCCUUUCGUUUUUUCCGUCCCCAGGGUGGUUAAGACGCACUUCGUGUACUAACAAACCCGGAAGUUGUUUAUCGUCACGAUGUCGCUCCGUGCUGCGCAGUCUCUUAGUCCUGAUGGCAGCGCUUCUUAGCACAGAUGUAAGCUUAUCACACAUUUGAUUUCCAUGUGUGACAACUGCAAGUGUCCAGAGUGAGGACAGACUGAGGGACCCACUGCUGCACAUCAUCUGUGAGGCUUUGCACCCCUGAUGAUCCACCAGGACAAACUCAGCAGUGUGUGAGGAAGAGGAGGAGGAAGAGCCAGCAGCAGCUGACAGAUGGAGAGAAUAGACAGACUGUUCCCUGUUUGUGAAGGACUGCUAGAAAAGUUUAAAAUAACCGUCUGUCCUGAAUCAGUCUUAUUAGGUAAUGUUCAAAUAAUUUGAUCAUUCCAGUGUUUUCAGUGUGGGAGAAAGUACUCAGGGCCUUCAAGUUACACACUAUGAAAGGCAGCAACAAGUUUAAUGUUCAGAAACCUAAAGUGUGAGAAUGGAGAUAAAAAUAAAUGUUUGUUUCAGUUCUAUGAAGCUUUGAGUAUUUUGGAUUUGUUGUGUUUGUGGC
This is a long non-coding RNA of Oreochromis aureus, 701 nucleotides long. The record is from Ensembl. Lineage: Eukaryota; Metazoa; Chordata; Actinopteri; Cichliformes; Cichlidae.